Long non-coding RNA from Coregonus clupeaformis (lake whitefish), 1329 nucleotides. RefSeq lists it as uncharacterized. The record is from RefSeq and is a predicted model, not a curated record. Lineage: Eukaryota; Metazoa; Chordata; Actinopteri; Salmoniformes; Salmonidae. The transcript is spliced from 3 exons.
GUUGUCAUUUUAAUUUCAUUUUUAUUAGGGUUUAAUAAACAAUGUUGGUGUUUUGUUUUUGAAAGCAUGAAUCACGUUGUGACUCGUGUUCAAAAAAGGGGGUAGUAUGGAUGGUAUGAGGAUUUAUUGGUAAAUUUGCAUAUUGUAUUAAGAAUAUGAGCAAAAGUAAGUAAUGUGUUAUGGGUUAGAUUAAAUGUUUUAAGGGAAAAUGUAUUUGUGGUAUAAGGCAGAAUUUAGAGGAGGCCUUUCUAUGACAUGAGUGGACUGCAACAAGCUGAAAGAUUGUGCACUUCCUAAUCUAAAAGGCUUAUCAGGAAUGAUAAGAAGAAAGGAUGAGGUAGCAUGCAGUGUCUCAACUAACAAUGUUAUGCAGACUUUCCAGGAGAAUGACAGACCUACCAGGAGAAUCUGGACAUUUUUAUGCAACUUGGAGACUAUGUGGUGGUAAAGGAUUAAUGAAGUAAUUGAUGGACAACACCCAAGUGGGAAGGUUAGUAAUAGGUGUUGAUGGCUACCUUGAUGGAGGGCCAAGUAAGAGAGAGAAAUUCCUAGAUCUGUAUGUACCAUUGUAGGACUUUUCUAACGCAGAGGAGGAAGAUGGCACCGCUUCGGCGGAGCAUUGUUUUGUUUUGUUUGUGUGUUUUUUGAAGCAGGGAAUAUUGGUAUGCUGAUAGAAGGACACAACAACAGAGAGAUGGUGAUAAAUGGAGAAGGACUCUGCAUGAUCAUAGAACUAGUGAAGGAAGAAGGUUCAUGCAUCAUCACACAGUCUACACCAACGGAGGAGUGGGAAAGGAGUUCACCAUUGAGUGAGAAUGGAGAAAGAUCUGUUCAAAUGCAACAUUGCUUUUGUUGGUAUGAUGGUUGACAAAUGGAAAUGACAUUGAAGUUGUGGAGUUGGUGGUGAAUCGAAUGAGACAUUGUAGUUGUGACAUUGUAAUGGGCAAGUCAUUUUGAAAUAUGAAGCUGUCUGAAGAACAUAAUGAAGAGACGCCAGAAGAUUUAUGUGCUGGACUUCCAGAUACCCACAGACGUGUCCUUCUGAGGGUCUGACCACAGCAAACAGUCACACAGCCCUGGUUUAACAACUGUACCCUGCCAAGACUGACUGGGGUGGAUCUGCAACUGGAACUAAUGCCAAAGAAAUGAACAAAACUGAAUUGUCUGAGUGAAUUGAUGAACUGCAGUCCUCACACUGCUUGAUGCUGUAGUAUGCCUUCCUCCUGUGUUGCAGACUUCUUUUAGUGGCAUAUGGUAGCUUAGUGGUUAAGAGCGUUGUGCCAGUAACCGAAAAGUCGCUGGUUCUAAUCCCCAAGCCGACUAGGUGAA